This is a long non-coding RNA of Zerene cesonia (dogface butterfly), 657 nucleotides long. RefSeq lists it as uncharacterized. The transcript has 3 exons. The record is from RefSeq and is a predicted model, not a curated record. NCBI's taxonomy places the organism in Eukaryota, Metazoa, Arthropoda, Insecta, Lepidoptera, Pieridae.
UCAUCCAACAUGAUUUAAGUCGAUAGAUUUACAAUAUUUCGAAAACUUUUACAAACAAACAACACAAGAGUACAGCCAUGUUUCAAAAUGGUUAAACAAAAUUUGCAUAAAUGAAAAUCAAAAUUAAAAUGGGUCAAAUAGUCGACAAAAAGUCUUCCACUAAAAUGUCUAAGAGCGGAUCUGGUAUAAAGAAAUCAUCAGGCGGCGUUAAAGGGAACAAAAAGAAUGAAAUAGAUUUCUGUGAUCCUAAGGUGCAAGGUGUACUUUUAGUGGGGCUCCUCGCUGUACUGGCACUGGCUCUAUGGUUUGGAUUUACGAGUGGGUGCUUGGGCAACCGUCGACGUCGAAGAAGAAGAUCUUGUUGUUGAAAACUUCCCACCCAAAACGGAAACGGUUAUCACAUGCAGGGCGCUGAACGAGCAUGUGAUACGAGCCGAGCUCUAUAGACUGUUGAAAAUGAUUACAUUAUGCGAUCGCCAUGGCAUGCAAACAGUAUCAAACUAAUAGUGCUUCCAUCCAACUGGACAAUCAAGAAGUAAUCUUCAUCCGUAGCUGAAAAACAAAAUUAAUUAAUUAAAAGAAACAUUAUAUAAAUAACACUUGUUAUAUCAUCUUUAACACGUUAAUUUAAAUAAAAUGUAUCAAAACACUUGCAUU